AGUGGCGGACGGGUGAGUAAUGCGCAGGAAUCUGCCCUAAAGUGGGGGACAACUCGGGGAAACUCGAGCUAAUACCGCAUAACCUCUUUGGAGCAAAGCUGGGGACCUUCGGGCCUGGCGCUUUAGGAUGAGCCUGCGUCGGAUUAGCUUGUUGGUGGGGUAACGGCCUACCAAGGCGACGAUCUGUAGCUGGUCUGAGAGGAUGACCAGCCACACUGGGACUGAGACACGGCCCAGACUCCUACGGGAGGCAGCAGUGGGGAAUCUUGGACAAUGGGGGAAACCCUGAUCCAGCGAUGCCGCGUGUGUGAAGAAGGCCUGCGGGUUGUAAAGCACUUUCAGUAGGGAAGAAAUGGCUAAUGUGAUAAGCAUUAGCAGCUGACAUUACCUACAGAAGAAGCACCGGCUAACUCUGUGCCAGCAGCCGCGGUAAUACAGAGGGUGCAAGCGUUAAUCGGAAUUACUGGGCGUAAAGGGUGCGUAGGCGGCCAAGUAAGUUGGAUGUGAAAUCCCUAAGCUUAACUUAGGAAUUGCAUUCAAAGCUGCAUGGCUAGAGUAUGGUAGAGGGAAGUGGAAUUUCCGGUGUAGCGGUGAAAUGCGUAGAUAUCGGAAGGAACACCAGUGGCGAAGGCGACUUCCUGGACCAAUACUGACGCUGAGGCACGAAAACAUGGGGAGCAAACAGGAUUAGAUACCCUGG
Molecule: ribosomal RNA, 700 nt
Filed under: uncultured Gammaproteobacteria bacterium
Lineage: Bacteria; Pseudomonadati; Pseudomonadota; Gammaproteobacteria
Description: bacterial SSU rRNA
Rfam family: Bacterial small subunit ribosomal RNA
Source: RNAcentral